UGGAGCGGGUGCAUGAUCGCUCGGGUCUUUAAGGCCUGAGAGGAAAGUCCGAACUCCGCAGGGCAGGAUGGUUCGUAACGCGAACGCCGGGUGACUGGCGGAAAGUGCCACAGAAAAUAUACCGCCGGGUCUUCGGAUUCGGUAAGGGUGAAAUGGCGAGGUAAGAGCUCACCGCCUGCACAGGUGACUGUCAGGGCAGGGUAAACCCCAUCCGGAGCAAGACCAAAUAGGAAGACGUCCCGCAGGAAGUGCCUUUGAGGUACAUUUUGUGGGUAUGGUUGCCCGCCAGAAGUCUUCGGGUAGGUUGCAAGAGGUGCCGGGUGACCGGCAUUCCAGUGAAAUGAUCAUGAUUGUACAGAAUUCGGCUUAUAGCCCGCUCCAUUUU
Molecule: RNase P RNA, 385 nt
Filed under: Desulfocapsa sulfexigens DSM 10523
Lineage: Bacteria; Pseudomonadati; Thermodesulfobacteriota; Desulfobulbia; Desulfobulbales; Desulfocapsaceae
Description: Bacterial RNase P class A
Rfam family: Bacterial RNase P class A
About the family: Ribonuclease P (RNase P) is a ubiquitous endoribonuclease, found in archaea, bacteria and eukarya as well as chloroplasts and mitochondria.
Source: Rfam by way of RNAcentral